RNAcentral lists this ribosomal RNA (324 nucleotides) under uncultured eukaryote. RNAcentral's name for it is "partial 18S ribosomal RNA". It matches the Rfam family "Eukaryotic small subunit ribosomal RNA", at positions 1470 to 1796 of the family's 1831-position model. The record is from RNAcentral.
CCCUUAGAUGUCCUGGGCUGCACGCGCGCUACACUGAUGUGUCCAGUAAGCACCUAACCUCUUCCGAAAGGAACGGGUAACCUUUGCAAAGCACAUCGUGAUGGGGAUAGAUUAUUGCAAUUAUUAGUCUUGAACGGGGAAUUCCUAGUAAGCACAAGUCAUCAGCUUGUGUUGAUUACGUCCCUGCCCUUUGUACACACCGCCCGUCGCUCCUACCGAUUGAAUGUUCCGGUGAGCUCUUCGGACUGCGCGGUCUGCAGUUUCUGCGUUCCGUGCGGAAAGUUGUGCAAACCUUAACAUUUAGAGGAAGGAGAAGUCGUAACA